RNAcentral lists this ribosomal RNA (258 nucleotides) under uncultured bacterium. Its description in RNAcentral is "partial 16S ribosomal RNA". It matches the Rfam family "Bacterial small subunit ribosomal RNA", at positions 75 to 334 of the family's 1533-position model. The record is from RNAcentral.
CUUGCUUUCUUUGCUGGCGACCGGCGCACGGGUGAGUAACACGUAUCCAACCUGCCCUUUACUCGGGGAUAGCCUUUCGAAAGAAAGAUUAAUACCCGAUAGUAUAAUGGUUCCGCAUGGUUUCAUUAUUAAAGGAUUCCGGUAAAGGAUGGGGAUGCGUUCCAUUAGGUUGUUGGUGAGGUAACGGCUCACCAAGCCUUCGAUGGAUAGGGGUUCUGAGAGGAAGGUCCCCCACAUUGGAACUGAGACACGGUCCAA